Molecule: ribosomal RNA, 552 nt
Filed under: Trichoderma sp. AH-Group-9
Lineage: Eukaryota; Fungi; Ascomycota; Sordariomycetes; Hypocreales; Hypocreaceae
Description: eukaryotic LSU rRNA
Rfam family: 5.8S ribosomal RNA (bases 171-324)
Source: RNAcentral
CUCCUAACCCAUGUGACCAUACCAAACUGUUGCCUCGGCGGGGUCACGCCCCGGGNUGCGUCGCAGCCCCGGAACCAGGCGCCCGCCGGAGGGACCAACCAAACUCUUUCUGUAGUCCCCUCGCGGACGUUAUUUCUUACAGCUCUGAGCAAAAAUUCAAAAUGAAUCAAAACUUUCAACAACGGAUCUCUUGGUUCUGGCAUCGAUGAAGAACGCAGCGAAAUGCGAUAAGUAAUGUGAAUUGCAGAAUUCAGUGAAUCAUCGAAUCUUUGAACGCACAUUGCGCCCGCCAGUAUUCUGGCGGGCAUGCCUGUCCGAGCGUCAUUUCAACCCUCGAACCCCUCCGGGGGUCCGGCGUUGGGGAUCGGGAACCCCUAAGACGGGAUCCCGGCCCCGAAAUACAGUGGCGGUCUCGCCGCAGCCUCUCAUGCGCAGUAGUUUGCACAACUCGCACCGGGAGCGCGGCGCGUCCACGUCCGUAAAACACCCAACUUCUGAAAUGUUGACCUCGGAUCAGGUAGGAAUACCCGCUGAACUUAAGCAUAUCAAUAA